GAUGAAGAACGUAGCGAAAUGCGAUAACUAAUGUGAAUUGCAGAAUUCCGUGAAUCAUCGAGUCUUUGAACGCACAUUGCGCCCCCUGGUAUUCCUGGGGGCAUGCCUGUCCGAGCGUCAUUGCUGCCCAUCAAGCACGGCUUGCGUGUUGGGUCCCGUCCCCCUCUCCCGGGGGACGGACCCGAAAGGCAGCGGCGGCACCGCGUCCGGUCCUCGAGCGUAUGGGGCUUUGUCACCCGCUCUUGUAGGCCCGGCCGGCGCUUGCCGACACCCAACCAUUUUUUUCAGGUUGACCUCGGAUCAGGUAGGGAUACCCGCUGAACUUAAGCAUAUCAAUAAGCGGAGGA
This 347-nucleotide unclassified non-coding RNA is filed under the name soil metagenome. RNAcentral describes it as "partial contains 5.8S ribosomal RNA, internal transcribed spacer 2, and large subunit ribosomal RNA". The stretch from base 1 to 120 matches the Rfam family "5.8S ribosomal RNA", at positions 35 to 154 of the family's 154-position model. The record is from RNAcentral.